CCCUUAGAUGUUCUGGGCCGCACGCGCGCUACACUGACGAAUGCAACGAGCUUAUAACCUUGGCCGAAAGGUCUGGGUAAUCUCCAAAUUUCGUCGUGAUGGGGAUAGAUGAUUGCAAUUAUUAAUCUUCAACGAGGAAUGCCUAGUAAGCGCAAGUCAUCAGCUUGCGUUGAUUACGUCCCUGCCCUUUGUACACACCGCCCGUCGCUCCUACCGAUUGAAUGGUCCGGUGAAGCGUUCGGACCGUGGCCUUUGGACGGUUCGCCGUCUGUUGGCUGCGGGAAGUUCGUUAAACCUUAUCAUUUAGAGGAAGGAGAANUCGUANCA
This 327-nucleotide ribosomal RNA is filed under the name uncultured eukaryote. Its description in RNAcentral is "partial 18S ribosomal RNA". It matches the Rfam family "Eukaryotic small subunit ribosomal RNA", at positions 1470 to 1796 of the family's 1831-position model. The record is from RNAcentral.